GACGAACGCUGGCGGCGUGCUUAACACAUGCAAGUCGAACGGAAAGGCCCCCUUGUGGGGUACUCGAGUGGCGAACGGGUGAGUAACACGUGAGUAACCUACCCUUGACUUUGGGAUAACUUCAGGAAACUGGGGCUAAUACCGGAUAGGAGCUCCUGCUGCAUGGUGGGGGUUGGAAAGUUUCGGCGGUUGGGGAUGGACUCGCGGCUUAUCAGCUUGUUGGUGGGGUAGUGGCUCACCAAGGCUUUGACGGGUAGCCGGCCUGAGAGGGUGACCGGCCACAUUGGGACUGAGAUACGGCCCAGACUCCAACGGGAGGCAGCAGUGGGGAAUAUUGCACAAUGGGCGGAAGCCUGAUGCAGCAACGCCGCGUGCGGGAUGACGGCCUUCGGGUUGUAAACCGCUUUCGCCUGUGACGAAGCGUGAGUGACGGUAAUGGGUAAAGAAGCACCGGCUAACUACGUG
RNAcentral lists this ribosomal RNA (465 nucleotides) under uncultured bacterium. RNAcentral describes it as "partial 16S ribosomal RNA". It matches the Rfam family "Bacterial small subunit ribosomal RNA", at positions 28 to 507 of the family's 1533-position model. The record is from RNAcentral.